This 477-nucleotide ribosomal RNA is filed under the name uncultured bacterium. RNAcentral describes it as "bacterial SSU rRNA". It matches the Rfam family "Bacterial small subunit ribosomal RNA", at positions 32 to 507 of the family's 1533-position model. The record is from RNAcentral.
AACGCUGGCGGCAUGCCUAACACAUGCAAGUCGAACGGAGAAUCCUUCGGGGAUUCUUAGUGGCGAACGGGUGAGUAACGCGUAGGCAACCUGCCUCAAAGAGGGGGACAACAGUUGGAAACGACUGCUAAUACCGCAUGAUGUAUCGGGAGGCAUCUUCCUGAUACCAAAGAUUUAUCGCUUUGAGAUAGGCUCAUGUCUGAUUAGCUAGUUGGUGAGGUAACGGCUCACCAAGGCUGCGAUCAGUAGCCGGACUGAGAGGUUGAACGGCCACAUUGGGACUGAGACACGGCCCAAACUCCUACGGGAGGCAGCAGUGGGGAAUCUUCCGCAAUGGGCGAAAGCCUGACGGAGCAACGCCGCGUGAGUGAAGAAGGUUUUCGGAUCGUAAAGCUCUGUUGUCAGGGACGAGAGAGUCUGUCAGGAAAUGGGCAGGCUAGGACGGUACCUGGCGAGAAAGCCACGGCUAACUACGUG